Molecule: ribosomal RNA, 211 nt
Filed under: uncultured bacterium
Lineage: Bacteria
Description: partial 16S ribosomal RNA
Rfam family: Bacterial small subunit ribosomal RNA
Source: RNAcentral
CAGUCAGAUUGCAGGCUGCAACUCGCCUGCAUGAAGUCGGAAUUGCUAGUAAUCGCAGAUCAGCAUGCUGCGGUGAAUACGUUCCCGGGCCUUGUACACACCGCCCGUCACACCAUGGGAGUCGGUAACACCCGAAGUCGGUAGCCUAACCGUAAGGAGGGCGCCGCCGAAGGUGGGAUUGGUGACUGGGGUGAAGUCGUAACAAGGUAGC